UGCCUAUACAUGCAGUCGAACGCUUUGUGGUUCAACUGAUUUGAAGAGCUUGCUCAGAUAUGACGAUGGACAUUGCAAAGAGUGGCGAACGGGUGAGUAACACGUGGGAAACCUACCUCUUAGCAGGGGAUAACAUUUGGAAACAGAUGCUAAUACCGUAUAACAAUAGCAACCGCAUGGUUGCUACUUAAAAGAUGGUUCUGCUAUCACUAAGAGAUGGUCCCGCGGUGCAUUAGUUAGUUGGUGAGGUAAUGGCUCACCAAGACGAUGAUGCAUAGCCGAGUUGAGAGACUGAUCGGCCACAAUGGGACUGAGACACGGCCCAUACUCCUACGGGAGGCAGCAGUAGGGAAUCUUCCACAAUGGGCGAAAGCCUGAUGGAGCAACGCCGCGUGUGUGAUGAAGGGUUUCGGCUCGUAAAACACUGUUGUAAGAGAAGAAUGACAUUGAGAGUAACUGUUCAAUGUGUGACGGUAUCUUACCAGAAAGGAACGGCUAAAUACGUGCCAUCAGCCGCGGUAAUACUUAUGUUCCAAGCGUUAU
RNAcentral lists this ribosomal RNA (543 nucleotides) under Weissella cibaria. Its description in RNAcentral is "bacterial SSU rRNA". It matches the Rfam family "Bacterial small subunit ribosomal RNA", at positions 45 to 544 of the family's 1533-position model. Lineage: Bacteria; Bacillati; Bacillota; Bacilli; Lactobacillales; Lactobacillaceae. The record is from RNAcentral.